UGCAAGCAAUGAUGGAAAUAGCGUAAGAUUUUCUUUCCCUAGAUAAGAGUUGGACAGAUUUACUUUUUGCCUUCUAUAAAUGUAGCUAAUUUAAAUUUAUAUCGUCAGUCUAGCAAUGAAGUAGACAUUACAUGUAGAUGAUUCUUUCUCCAAGGUUUUGAAGUCAUGAGCAAAAGUUACAAAAUAAUUUGUGUGUCUAGGGAUACAUAGGAAAAUUAGUCUCUGUACUUUAUCAUUAUACUUUCUAUUGAGAUUUAAUACUGAAAUAACUAUGGAAAGUGAAAUAGAGGAGACUCUUACUGUAAAAACGUGUGAAAACUAUAUAAGGGAAGGCUAGUUUUUGAGUCAAAAGCUAGAAUUUGAAUGUUAAAAGUUGCACAGCCUGGUAGCUGGUGAGUAGGGCACAUUUUAUGUACUGGAACAUAGCAAACAAAAUCAGUCUUCCUACCAGGUGAGAAAAAAAAUCCCUAAAUUGUGUCUUGCACACCUGCUGAAAAAGAGAUGGAAAGCCUAUGGGAACAGGACACUUAGGCCAUCCUGAUUAGAGGACCAGGACUAGUAAAGAGGAUCUCUUACUAAUGAAUUAGAAAAGCAGCAGCAGAGAGGAAAUCAUGAAGAAAUAGUGUAAUAGGACCAGAGAUGUUAGUAGGUAAGGAACAGAAAGGGCAUCAAAAUAAUCCUCAGUGUUUUCAUGUUGAGACACAUUCCUUCCUCUCCCUACCUCACUCCUCAUUUCCCACUUCUCUCUCUUGCUUCUCUAUAUCUUUAACACAUACUCUCUUUAUCGUUUAGCUUUAGAUGUCUGUCUUAAGUUGAUAUCUAUUCAUUUUCCUACCUCUACCCACUUUCCCAAAACAUAAGAAUCUCUUUAGCUGUGUAAAGAAAGGUAGUAACAUAAAUCUGGAUAAUAAUUGGAAAUUGUGGAACAAGAAGAAGGUCAUUCUCUCAAGUGAGAAGUGAGGGGGAAAUUUUAAGAGAGUCAAACUGCUACCUUAAGAAAUACAGUAGAGAUGAGAGUGAAUUUUGAAAUUAAAGAAAUUGGCAUGUAAUUGAUCUUUAUUUUCAAAGGAGCAGGUGUUUUUGGUAGGAACUACAUGAUAGGAUUGAUUCAGCAGUUGGGGUUACCAGGCCUCAAUUAGUAGAGAAGAGCAAAUGCAAAUGCGUGAGAAGGUCAUCCUCUGGGUUUUCAGAAUACAACUUCAGGCUCUAUUAUGAACUAUUCCCUUCCUCUUCCAUUCUUAAGGUGUGACUUCAAAAGAAUAACUAUGAAUAAUAUAAUCUGCUAUGACAGUAUAUAAGUAGAGAAUGUUUAAUAAAUCCUAAUUGCCAUUGCAUUCCUCUUGUUUUUAAAUCUUCUAUGGUACUUGCCCAGUGCUUGCCACGGUGGUUUUCUAUAACUUUCUCUUGUGUAUUUUAAAAGUAUACAAUCAAUAAUUUCCUACAUACCUAAAACGCCGUAGAGGGGAAAUCUAGUUACUGAGCCAGAGGCUACUUUAUUGAGGAGUCUCGCUCUGUUUCCCAGGCUGGAGUGCAGUGGCAUGAUUUUGGCUCACUGCAACUUCCACCUCCCGGGUUCAAGCAAUUCUCCUGCCUCAGCCUCCCUAGUAGCUGGGAUUACAGGUGUGCACCACCACACCUGGCUAAUUUUUGUAUUUUUAGUAGAGAUGAGAUUUCACCAUGUUGGCCAGGCUGGUCUCAAACUCCUGACCUCAAGUGAGCCACCUGCCUUGGCCUCCCACAGUACUGGGAUUACAGGCAUGAGCUGCCACGCCCACCCGGCCCAGAGGCUACUUUGAAUAUUCGAAAGUUCACAGCCUGGCAGCUAGUGAGGGGCCUCCCUAGUGUAAGCAUUCCAGAGCAAACUGACCAUGCCUGCAGGAAGAAUUAAUACAGCAGACCAGCAAGACUUAUGCCUAAAAAUUCUAAAGUUAUAUAUUAUUAAAAAGAAGUAUAUUUAAUUUAGCUCAUGUCUUUAUGACAAAGGCAUCUAGUGGAUAUUUAAUAAAUACUUGGAAGGAAAUACAAUACCAGUAUUGCAGAUAGAUGUCUGUAAAUCCCAAGUAAUUGAAAUUUUGCAGGUCAAAGGAAUAGUGUUUUCUUCUAAGAAAGAGGCAAGAUCAAAGAAGUUUUUGCUAAUUAAGAGACUUACUCCAGGUAAAUCAAGGAAGACAACAGAAAGAAGGAAAACUAUACAAAUAUUUUUGGGGUGUGGAGAUGGGUGUUUCAGAAAUGAAAUAGGGAAACAAAGCAAGAGGAGAAGAGAGUUACGGUAUCAGCGAUGGGAAAUGGAAGAGACAAAUUCCUGAAACUGUGGGGAAAGUGUAUUGCUAAUUACCAAAUUAUUGUGAGAAUGGAGGAGUGGGUUGAAUCAUAAAAGGAUAAAGCAUAUUUAAUUAAAUGGAAAUCAAGACUUUUAUAACCUGGAAAAAUCAGAAUUAUGUAGUCAUAUAGAAGUGAAAGUGAUUUUAGUGAAAGGGAAAAUCAUUAUCUAAAAUGUUAGAUGACACUAACAAAAAUAGCUUAACAGUUAGUAAAUUCACCUUACUUUUAUUUUACACAUUCAUGCAAACAUUUCAUGUAAUUAUUCUUCCUUAGAACCUUUAAUGAUUUUUCAGUGAUGCAUGUAGUAUAUAAUAAUUAAAAUUAGGCCAGGCUCAGUGGCUCACACCCGAAAUCCCAGCGCUUUGGGAGGCCAAGAUGGGAGAAUUGCUUCAGCUCAGGAGUUCAAGACUGGCCUGAGCAACAUGGCGAAACCUCAUCUCUACUAAAAAUACAAAAAAAUAGUUGGGCGUGUUGGUGCAUGCCUGUAGUCUCAGCUACUCAGGAGGCUGAGGCGGGAAGAUGGUUUGAGCAUGAAAGGCAGAGGUUGUAGUGAGCUAAGAUUGUACCACUGCACUCCAUCCAGCCUGGGCGACAAAGUGAGACCCUGUAUCAAAAAAAAAUGAAAAAAAUAUCGGAGGAACCCACCCCCAAUAUUUCAACAUAGGUUUUUUUCUGUUUUCCGUGUCAGCCAGCUGAGAAAGAAAGAGAAAGAGUACUAAGAGAGGAAUUUUACAGCCAGGCCACCAGAGGUGACAUGACAUAUCGGUAGGACUGUGAUGCCCACCCAAGCCUCAAAACCAGCAAGUUUUUAUUAAGGAUUUCAAAAGCGGAGGGGGUAUACGAACAGGGUGUAGGUAGGUACAAAGAUCACAUGCUUCAAAGGUCAAAAAACAUAACAAAGUUCACAUGCUUCUGAGGAAACAGGACAAAGGGCAAAAUGCAGAACUUCUGAUAAGGGUCUAUGUUCAGUGGUGCACCUAUUGUCUUGAUAAACAUCUUAAACAACAGAAAACAGGGUUUGAAAGCAGUUCUGACCACAAAUUUAACAGGGUGGAGUUUCCCAAUCGUAGUAAGCCUGAGGGUACUGCAGGAGACCAGGGCAUCUCAGUCCUUAUCUCAACCACAUAGGACAGACAUUCCCAGAACGGCUGUUUAUAGACUUCCCCCCCAGGAAUGCAUUCCUUUCCCAGAGUAUUAAUAUCAGUAUUCCUUGCUAGGAAAAGAAUUUAGCGAUAUCUUCCCUACUUGCACAUCUGUUUGUAGGCUCUCUGCAAGAAGAAAAAUAUGGUUCUUUUUGCCCAACCCCGCAGGCAGUCAGGCCUUAUGGUUGUCUUCCCUUCUUCCCUAAAAAUCGCUGUUAUUCUGUUCUUUUUCAAGGUGCACUGAUUUCAUACUGUUCAAACACAUAUGUUUUACAGUCAAUCUUUACAGUUAACACAGUUAUCACAGUGGUCCUGAGGUGAUGUACAUCCUCAGCAUAUGAAGAUAACAGGAUUAAGAGAUUACAGGUCACACAAAACAGACUGAUUUUCCUGUGGAAGACCUCACAGGAGUUCUCUUGAACCAGGAGACUGUUUUGAGCUGAAAUACCUGGAGCCCUCUCAAGCUAUUGGGCCUUUCAAUUUGAAACCCAGGUUUGGACGAUUGUAAGCCCUAUGGCAGAGACUGUAAUUUUCUCUUCACCCUCAGGGUGGGGACUCACCCUCAGGGUUGGGAGUGACUGCUGUCUCUCAAGCCCCCACCAAUUACACCAUGUUCUGGUUGUUAAAAUCCAGUGUAUGCAUGAAAUGUAAUAAAAGUAUCUUUGCAGCA
This is a long non-coding RNA of Symphalangus syndactylus (siamang), 4134 nucleotides long. RefSeq lists it as uncharacterized. The record is from RefSeq and is a predicted model, not a curated record. NCBI's taxonomy places the organism in Eukaryota, Metazoa, Chordata, Mammalia, Primates, Hylobatidae.